This 497-nucleotide ribosomal RNA is filed under the name uncultured bacterium. RNAcentral describes it as "partial 16S ribosomal RNA". It matches the Rfam family "Bacterial small subunit ribosomal RNA", at positions 28 to 507 of the family's 1533-position model. The record is from RNAcentral.
GAUGAACGCUGGCGGCGUGCCUAAUACAUGCAAGUCGAGCGAACGGACGAGAAGCUUGCUUUUCUGAUGUUAGCGGCGGAUGGGUGAGUAACACGUGGAUCACCUAUCUAUAAGACUGGGAUAACUUCGGGAAACCGGAGCUAAUACCGGAUACUAUUUUGAACCGCAUGGUUCAAAAGUGAAAGACGGUCUUGCUGUCACUUAUAGAUGGUUCCGCGCUGCAUUAGCUAGUUGGUAAGGUAACGGCUUACCAAGGCAACGAUGCAUAGCCGACCUGAGAGGGUGAUCGGCCACACUGAAACUGAGACACGGUCCAGACUCCUACGGGAGGGAGCAGUAGGGAAUCUUCCGCAAUGAGCGAAAGCCUGACGGAGCAACGCCGCGUGAGUGAUGAAGGUCUUCGGAUCGUAAAACUCUGUUAUUAGGGAAGAACAUAUGUGUAAGUAACUGUGCACAUCUUGACGGUACCUAAACAGAAAGCCACGGCUAACUACGUG